UUUAUUUGCUUUUUGUUGUUGUUGUUUUAUUCCUUAUUUUCUUUUCUAUCUUUUUCUUUUUGGAAUUGAAGAGGUAAACUAUGAAAAUGAGAUACACCCCCACACUUAUUCAAGAACCUAUUCCCAAAUAAUUUCAAAGCUCCUUUAUCUUCUAAAGUAGGGACAAACAUGAUUUUUCUGUUUUGGGACUUGUAAUGAGGGUUAAAAAUAAGAAAAAG
RNAcentral lists this long non-coding RNA (218 nucleotides) under Phaseolus vulgaris (common bean). Its description in RNAcentral is "long non-coding RNA (PVUL_LNC004903)". The record is from RNAcentral. Lineage: Eukaryota; Viridiplantae; Streptophyta; Magnoliopsida; Fabales; Fabaceae.